UCUUCAUUAGUAUAACGGUUAGUAUAACCGCUUCUCACGCGGUAGACCAGGGUUCAACUCCCUGAUGGAGAA
Molecule: transfer RNA, 72 nt
Organism: Cryptococcus amylolentus CBS 6039
Lineage: Eukaryota; Fungi; Basidiomycota; Tremellomycetes; Tremellales; Cryptococcaceae
Rfam family: tRNA
About the family: Transfer RNA (tRNA) molecules are approximately 80 nucleotides in length. Their secondary structure includes four short double-helical elements and three loops (D, anti-codon, and T loops).
Source: Rfam